UACGGAGGGUGCAAGCGUUAUCCGGAUUUACUGGGUUUAAAGGGUGUGUAGGCGGAUUUUUAAGUCAGAGGUGAAAUCUCCAGGCUCAACCUGGAAACUGCCCCUGAUACUAUUAGUCUUGAAUAUUGAUGAGGUGGGCGGAACGGGUCAUGUAGCGGUGAAAUGCUUAGAGAUGACCCGGAACACCGGUGGCGAAGGCGGGUCUCUGGGCCGAUACUGACGCUGAGGAGCGAAAGCGUGGGGAGCGAACAGG
Molecule: ribosomal RNA, 253 nt
Filed under: uncultured bacterium
Lineage: Bacteria
Description: partial 16S ribosomal RNA
Rfam family: Bacterial small subunit ribosomal RNA
Source: RNAcentral